CAGCAGCCGCGGUAAUACAGAGGAUGCAAGCGUUAUCCGGAAUGAUUGGGCGUAAAGCGUCUGUAGGUGGCUUUUCAAGUCCGCCGUCAAAUCCCAGGGCUCAACCUUGGACAGGCGGUGGAAACUACCAAGCUGGAGGACGGUAGGGGCAGAGGGAAUUUCCGGUGGAGCGAUGAAAUGCGUUGAGAUCGGAAAGAACACCAACAGCGAAAGCACUCUGUUGGGCCGACACUGACACUGAGAGACGAAAGCUAGGGGAGCAAAUGGGAUUAGAUACCCGUGUAGUCCCUGUCUCUUAUAC
RNAcentral lists this ribosomal RNA (301 nucleotides) under uncultured bacterium. Its description in RNAcentral is "partial 16S ribosomal RNA". It matches the Rfam family "Bacterial small subunit ribosomal RNA", at positions 509 to 807 of the family's 1533-position model. The record is from RNAcentral.